AGUGAACGCUGUCUGUAGGCCUCACCCAUGCACGUCUAACGUCAGCACAGUAAGAGCUUGCUCUUACGGGUGGCGAGUGGCGGCCGGGUGAGGAUUACAUCGGAAUCUACUUUUUCGUGGGGGAUAACGUAGGGAAGCUUACGCUCUUACCGAAUACGACCUACGGGUGACAGCAUGGGAUCUUCGUACCUUGCGCGCUUGAUUGAGCCGAUGUCGGAUUAGCUAGUUUGCGGUGUAAAGGCCCACCCAGGCGACGAUCCGUAGCUGGUCUGAGAGGAUGAGCAGCGAAACUGGAACUGAGACACGGGCCAGACUCCUACGGGAGGCAGCAGUGGGGAAUAUUGGACAACGGGCGGAAGCCUGAUGCAGCCAUACCGCGUGGGUGAAGAAGGCCUUCGGGGGGGAAAGCCCAGUUGUUGGGGAAGAAAAGCAGCAGGUUAUUACCCCGCUGUGCGGACGGGACCCAAAGAAUAAGCACCGGCGAACAUGGUG
Molecule: ribosomal RNA, 492 nt
Filed under: uncultured bacterium
Lineage: Bacteria
Description: partial 16S ribosomal RNA
Rfam family: Bacterial small subunit ribosomal RNA
Source: RNAcentral